RNAcentral lists this ribosomal RNA (454 nucleotides) under Salmonella enterica subsp. enterica serovar Typhimurium. RNAcentral's name for it is "partial 23S ribosomal RNA". It matches the Rfam family "Bacterial large subunit ribosomal RNA", at positions 1181 to 1633 of the family's 2925-position model. Lineage: Bacteria; Pseudomonadati; Pseudomonadota; Gammaproteobacteria; Enterobacterales; Enterobacteriaceae. The record is from RNAcentral.
GUCAAAGCGUUCAUUAAAGUCGAGUUGGCUUAGGGAUACGUUCGUUGGGUAGGGGAGCGUUCUGUAAGCCUGUGAAGGUGUGUCGUGAGGCAUGCUGGAGGUAUCAGAAGUGCGAAUGCUGACAUAAGUAACGAUAAAGCGGGUGAAAAGCCCGCUCGCCGGAAGACCAAGGGUUCCUGUCCAACGUUAAUCGGGGCAGGGUGAGUCGACCCCUAAGGCGAGGCCGAAAGGCGUAGUCGAUGGGAAACGGGUUAAUAUUCCCGUACUUGGUGUUACUGCGAAGGGGGGACGGAGAAGGCUAUGUUGGCCGGGCGACGGUUGUCCCGGUUUAAGCGUGUAGGUGUGUGUUCCAGGUAAAUCCGGUUCACUUUAACACUGAGGCGUGAUGACGAGGCACUACGGUGCUGAAGCAACAAAUGCCCUGCUUCCAGGAAAAGCCUCUAAGCAUCAGGUA